RNAcentral lists this ribosomal RNA (495 nucleotides) under uncultured bacterium. Its description in RNAcentral is "partial 16S ribosomal RNA". It matches the Rfam family "Bacterial small subunit ribosomal RNA", at positions 30 to 507 of the family's 1533-position model. The record is from RNAcentral.
UGAACGCUGGCGGCGUGCCUAAUACAUGCAAGUCGAGCGAACAGACGAGGAGCUUGCUCCUCUGACGUUAGCGGCGGACGGGUGAGUAACACGUGGAUAACCUACCUAUAAGACUGGGAUAACUUCGGGAAACCGGAGCUAAUACCGUAUAACAUGUUGAACCGCAUGGUUCAACAGUGAAAGACGGUCUUGCUGUCACUUAUAGGUGGAUCCGCGCCGCAUUAGCUAGUUGGUAAGGUAACGGCUUACCAAGGCAACGAUGCGUAGCCGACCUGAGAGGGUGAUCGGCCACACUGGAACUGAGACACGGUCCAGACUCCUACGGGAGGCAGCAGUAGGGAAUCUUCCGCAAUGGGCGAAAGCCUGACGGAGCAACGCCGCGUGAGUGAAGAAGGUCUUCGGAUCGUAAGACUCUGUUAUUAGGGAAGAACAAAUGUGUAAGUAACUAUGCACGUCUUGACGGUACCUAAUCAGAAAGCCACGGCUAACUACGUG